Molecule: ribosomal RNA, 230 nt
Filed under: Pseudomonas mosselii
Lineage: Bacteria; Pseudomonadati; Pseudomonadota; Gammaproteobacteria; Pseudomonadales; Pseudomonadaceae
Description: partial 16S ribosomal RNA
Rfam family: Bacterial small subunit ribosomal RNA
Source: RNAcentral
GUUAAGUCCCGUAACGAGCGCAACCCUUGUCCUUAGUUACCAGCACGUUAUGGUGGGCACUCUAAGGAGACUGCCGGUGACAAACCGGAGGAAGGGGGGGAUGACGUCAAGUCAUCAUGGCCCUUACGGCCUGGGCUACACACGUGCUACAAUGGUCGGUACAGAGGGUUGCCAAGCCGCGAGGUGGAGCUAAUCUCACAAAACCGAUCGUAGUCCGGAUCGCAGUCUGC